Molecule: long non-coding RNA, 619 nt
Organism: Pogoniulus pusillus (Red-fronted tinkerbird)
Lineage: Eukaryota; Metazoa; Chordata; Aves; Piciformes; Lybiidae
Exons: 3
Source: RefSeq, a predicted model, not a curated record
GCUUGCCCACUUGGGCAGAAGGAUCCUCCUCGGAUCAUCACCGAAGACAAACAAUGAGGAGGAGGAGUCUGAGUGCCACACUGUUAAAUUAGAGCUUAUCAUUCCAGUGAAGAAAAGACAACUUGAUGAGAACCUUCCAUAUGCCUCUCUUCAUAUCAUUUCUUCUGUCAGCAUGAUAUGGCCAACCCAUUCUCCAAACAAGCAGGCACCAUCUCUUGUGGUCUAUAUGGUGUAAUACUUCAACAGACUGCUGCCUGAAAUUGCAAUAUGUGAGGAUAAAAAGAAGAAAAUGCACAUGGCCUUCUCCCUGCAGAAAUAAAUAUGGGCUUAGAUGCCCUCCCUCCACUCUGUCAGAAAAUGAAUGUAGAAAUAGGAAAGGGUUUUGGUUAAAUGUUAGAAAUCACUCUCUGGUUGUAAGGAAGGUGGAAAUUUGGUAGACUCCAUCAAAGUCUCAGAGCUCUUGAAAGAAAGGGUAAACACACAGCAGGAGUUCCACCAUCACAGCUGAUCCUGCCUAGGGGCCAAGCUGAUCGCCCUGCAAUGUCUACUCUAGCCCUAAGUGCUGGGAGUUAGUUUAUAUCCUCACCAUUUUACUGGGUUAGACAAUAAACUCUGGUAU